RNAcentral lists this ribosomal RNA (149 nucleotides) under uncultured methanogenic archaeon. RNAcentral describes it as "partial 16S ribosomal RNA". It matches the Rfam family "Archaeal small subunit ribosomal RNA", at positions 325 to 474 of the family's 1478-position model. Lineage: Archaea; Methanobacteriati; Methanobacteriota. The record is from RNAcentral.
ACGGGGCGCAGCAGGCGCGAAACCUCCGCAAUGUGAGAAAUCGCGACGGGGGGAUCCCAAGUGCCAUUCUUAACGGGAUGGCUUUUCAUUAGUGUAAAGAGCUUUUGGAAUAAGAGCUGGGCAAGACCGGUGCCAGCCGCCGCGGUAAU